This 72-nucleotide transfer RNA is filed under the name Pedospumella sp. Jangsampo120217C5. RNAcentral's name for it is "tRNA-His". It matches the Rfam family "tRNA". Rfam says of the family: Transfer RNA (tRNA) molecules are approximately 80 nucleotides in length. The record is from RNAcentral. Lineage: Eukaryota; Chrysophyceae; Chromulinales; Chromulinaceae.
GCGAUUGUAGCCAAACGGUUAAGGCAAUGGAUUGUGAAUCCAUCAUCGCGGGUUCGACUCCCGUCUUUCGCC